This 341-nucleotide unclassified non-coding RNA is filed under the name fungal sp. RNAcentral describes it as "partial internal transcribed spacer region". The stretch from base 1 to 46 matches the Rfam family "Eukaryotic small subunit ribosomal RNA", at positions 1786 to 1831 of the family's 1831-position model. Lineage: Eukaryota; Fungi. The record is from RNAcentral.
AAGUCGUAACAAGGUUUCCGUAGGUGAACCUGCGGAAGGAUCAUUAAUAAAAUUACAAACUUGAAUGCUUUUUUACAGCAUUUAAGGAACAUUUUUUUUAAUGUUCUGACCCUUUACCCCUUGUGAAAUGUAUUAAUUGAUUUUGGCAGUUUUAUUUCGAAAAAGAAAAAGCUUUUUUUUUUUUUUUUUGAAAUUUAAUCUUUUUUUUAAGAGAUUGCCAAACUUAUUUUUCUUAUAUAAACUCUAUAUUCUUUUUAAAAAUAUCGAUUGACUAAAAAAAAAAAUAUAAAAAAUUAUAAUUAAUUUUUUUAUAACUUUUGACAACGGAUCUCUUGGCUCUC